Triticum aestivum (bread wheat) is the source of this 2117-nucleotide RNA transcript. RefSeq lists it as uncharacterized. NCBI's taxonomy places the organism in Eukaryota, Viridiplantae, Streptophyta, Magnoliopsida, Poales, Poaceae. The transcript is spliced from 5 exons. The record is from RefSeq and is a predicted model, not a curated record.
GCGCGGCGUAUGGGCCUGCCACGUGGCGCCUCUGGUAGGCUGCGUGCGGCGGCGGCGAUGUGUCCGGUGGCGGCGGACGCGUCCGGCCGGCCGCCGCAUGAGAGCCACGGAUGCCUGCCAAGGAGGCGGAUCAGCUCGCCUCCAUCGUCAAUACAGCCGCCGCGCCACCACCCUCCUCCGGUCCUUACUCCCCCUGCAGCCCCAAAAGCUCUGCUGGUUCUUUCGGCGAGAUCCACCGUCUCCUGAGGUCCUUAUCCACCCCAGCUCGCGAGGAAGCCUCGGGAGGAGGGGAGCCCUCGUCGCGAGGAAGCUGCGUAAGGAGGAGCUCAACCGGGCGUCGCCGGCCAGAGAAGGAGAGGCGCGGAUGCCUGCCAGGGAGGCAGAUCGGCUCGUCUCCGCGGCUGGAAAGGGCUCGGUGGUAAGUUUGGCUUUUUCUCAUAUCUCAGCGAGCCCUGCUGGGAUUAUUUGUAGACUUCCUUGCUGAACCCUACAAGGAGCAGACGCAUUCCCAGUUUGCUUCCAGAGGAUAAGGCAGGGGAAGAGUUCCAAUUACAACAUGGGGCUUCAAGUGUCUAUUACUGUGGAACACCAAUAUCCGUGCAUUUUAGUUACGACUAAGUGCCACACCAAUGAAUGUGAAUGUCCGUUCAGGUAAUAAGUAUCACGAUUAGCAAUUUUGGUUUGUCCCCAUAGUCUAUGUGUGUCCCAUGUCCUUUCAGCACCUUCUGCUAUUUUCCUGCAUUUUUCUUCCCUUCUGCUGCAGAUUAAGUGACUGAAAGCAAACAAAUAGUUAUUCUGGACUCUUCAGAUUAUCAAGUACAGUAUACUGUAGCAUAUCAGCUUCUUAAAUUUCUAUUGCAACCUAGCAUAUACCAGCAUAAAAAAGUUUCUUUUGCUCAUCAUGUAUAUUAUGUUCCUCUAAAUCACGUGUACCAUUUUCAGCUAUUAAUAGUGCAGUACUACAUGAAGGCAAUAUGUUAGCAUAUUAGGUACUACUAUUCUUUGCUCUCUAAUUUGUGAGCGCUUAUGGUUUUGCUGCAGUACAGACUCGGCAUCUAUUCUUCUUGGUACAAACUAAUGUUCUAAUAAGGUGUGAUAAAUUUAAUAAUAAGAAGAUAUUGCAGAGAUUAACACAAUGUUUUCCUGCAGUUUUUUCACCUAAAAUCGUCCUUCAACACAAUGAUUUUAUUGUGUUAAUGUCUUUCAAAUCUCAACUUUGUACAUGCAGUGUCCAUCUUGGUUCUGGUGAAUUGAUUUGGGGAACUCUUGAAAUCUGUUUCUUGUAUAUUGGCCAUGAUAACUCUUCACUUGACAUUCUGCAAUGGCUUCCAGCCAGGGUUUUCUUGUUGCUGCUAUUCCUCGUGGAUAUUCAAGAGGCAACUUGGCACCUAAUGUCAACAGCAUGCUUUUUGGUGACGAGUGAAAUGAAAGAAGGAUGCAAUGGAAUUUGUAUUAGGCAUCUGUUCUUCAAAUGAGGCUCCAACCUGAGCAAGGGCAUGGUUUGCAGAUGAUGUAUCUACUUUAUGUGUGUCAGAAGAGCCCUCCGACGCCCAGCCGCUGGUGUCUCUGCCCGAAGAAGGCUCAUGGUUCCCCACCUCUCUACAACUCAUAUUAAAAUUUUGCUAUUCCAGAGAAGUUUAGAGAUCCACAACCUUAGUAGAGAUGAAACAAUCAAUCAGCUGAGAUGCAUCACAUGAUCUUUUUCUCUUCACUUUGAUGGGUAUUGAACCCAUAGAUCAGCUUAUCAAUGGAACUCUUAUCAGCGUUGAGAAGGUGGCACAAAAUCUCAUACGCAGGGCGAUCAGCUAAGAAGCAUCAGGAAGGACUUUUAGGAUGGUACCGUGGUCAAAUGCAUCCUAGGAUAGGUCCUUUAAGAAUUAUGGUGUGUUUCCCUCCUUUUGUUUACCAUAGGCACAGAGGUUUAGCCUCAAUUUAUUAUGAUAUUUUUGUUUAGAGUAGAUGCAGAACUGAGACUUACCCAGGUUGUGAGAGCUGGUGAUGAUUCUAUUAAAAGUCCCUUGUUGCCUGCAACGUUUGUCUCUGUAAACAGCAUAACUAACGUCGUAUGGUUUCCAAUGUGACUAAGAUGUAAAUUCUUCCUUGGUGUAGUUUCUAAA